AAUAUCAUUGGAAUGAGCCCCCUUGGCAGAUGUACAGGUCCUGAUGACAGGUAUUUUCCAGGUCCAGGGUCCCACAAUCACAGCUCUAAAAGAUUCUCUGUGUGAAGUGUUUGAAGAAGUGGUGGACGUGACACUGAUCUUGGAGCUGCAUUCCCUGACUCUGUUAAGUGCCUGGUGAGUUGCCAUGACAACCAAGGAACCUUAACAGACAGUCUUUGGUGCUUGUGUUUCUCCUGAAGGCUAUACUAAGUUGUGGAUGUGUCUAUUUGCUCAUGCCCAUAGAGGGUAUUUUGCCUCUUGUGGAGACCUGUCAUAAAAUGGGGCGAAGAGCAAAUUCCUUCUGGUGGAAAAGGUGUUAACACUUUAUAUUUAUUCAUAAAUAGCAAAAAGCAAAUAAAUGGUAAAAGGGGCCCACACUUGUUCACACACACACACACACACACACACACACACACACACACACACACACUCCUCGCUAUCCUUUCCAGUCUGGCAGGUGUAGUCUGGCUCUGGGCAGUGCCGGUAACCGCCAAUCCUCUGGAGCUGAGCAGCCGCAGUGCAGGCUUUGCCGUCUGAGCAGUGGAUGACCGCGUGAGCGGCUGCGUGGAGGACAUGGAGAUUAUUUCUCCGCACGAUGUUGUCUCUGCUGGGCCCUGGGGAGUGCAUUGUGUACACUACAAAGCCACAUUGCCUUUCGGCAGAAUGAGCACCAAAAAUUCAAGUCAUUACCAAGAUACUUUCCAGGACAAAGUAGUUCGUGUUCUUCAGUGCUGGAAGUAGCAGAAACCAAAGGGCUCACAGUUGUAUGAAAUAGUCCAUUGGAUAGUCGAUGUUUUGCAUAUGCCUAUGGUUUAACAUGCAAGAGUAUCUGGAAGUUCAAGCAAGAACUGUGCAGUGAGUGAUUUUUGAGGACUACAAGAAGAAUGAAUCAAAGACAUUAUCAACUAGCCAUCAUUCCUUAUACUGGCUUCAUCUUAACCAAAUCUGGAAACACACCCCAGACUGACAUUGUUUAGAGAGUGAACUCAGUGUAAAUCCCACGAUCCUCUCUGAGUGUUACAAUCACCAAAGCUAAAGACCCACUGGGUCGACGUUUUUCUCUAUUCUUCUCUCUGGGAUAAUAAAAGAAUUACUUCUUGUUGAAUAAAAG
Molecule: long non-coding RNA, 1150 nt
Filed under: Mus spicilegus (steppe mouse)
Lineage: Eukaryota; Metazoa; Chordata; Mammalia; Rodentia; Muridae
Description: lncRNA (ENSMSIG00000005591.1)
Source: RNAcentral